GGGUAGAAGGGUAACUGGUGUGCCUCCUGGUCUUCAAAACCAGUGUGAGCAGGUAAUGCUGCUCGGGUGGGUUCGAUUCCCACCUGCUCCC
RNAcentral lists this transfer RNA (91 nucleotides) under bovine gut metagenome. RNAcentral's name for it is "Selenocysteine transfer RNA". It matches the Rfam family "Selenocysteine transfer RNA". The record is from RNAcentral.